RNAcentral lists this long non-coding RNA (317 nucleotides) under Sorghum bicolor (sorghum). Its description in RNAcentral is "long non-coding RNA (SBIC_LNC009393)". Lineage: Eukaryota; Viridiplantae; Streptophyta; Magnoliopsida; Poales; Poaceae. The record is from RNAcentral.
UAUCAAAAUCAAUGAAGUGUUGGAUAAAAACCCUCUAUGUGGCAAAAACUAUUAAAUGCACAAGCUUUAAGAUUAUUCUGGCAUGCAUUAUAGCGAGUGAAAAAGAGCUAUGACAUGAUAACCAAACUAGUGAGCCACAAUGAUACAUCAGUAGAUUAAAAAAAAAAAGAAUGAUACAUCAGUAUACUAAAAAAGUAUGAUACAUCAGUAUACGAAGAGUUAGGGUCUGUUUUGUUUACAUUAAUUUGAGCUUAGAAAAGCUGCUGUGAGUUAUGUGCUGUGAAAUGAUUGUAAGCUAUUUGGUUAAAAUAACCCUG